UUCACGGUAGAAAAUAAGCGCUCGUCACACAGUUUUUUCCAGUUCGAAGUGCUGGUUUUCUUUCCACAGCAGCUGAGCGGUCAGUCCAUAAAUGCGUGUCAUUCGUGAAUGUGCGGAGUUUCCCCGCGUUGCUCUUCUGCGGAGUCCUUGUGCAGUGUCCCGUAGACGCGCAGCACCAAGUCCUCAACGAGUUCACUCCCGCGCGGUCAGCUGCCCGGCGCCCCACAGCGUUCGCCUGCCGACUUGAGAACGUGUGCUUCACUGCCUCUUUCAAAGAUUUAAAAUCACACAUUUUUAUACGGGGAUGUAUUGGGUUGCACUUCAAAUAAGGCUAUACCUUAUUGGAUAAACCUGACGAAAAAAAAGAGGCAUAAACACAAGCAGCGGUCUGCAACCAGUGUGGAGGACAAACGAAGAAGAAUCACAAAAAGCUGAAACUGUUGAAAGACUUCAACAAAAAGUAACUCCCUGUCUUUCCAGUCUUCAGUCAGUGGAAAAAUCAGCCAGAAGGUAGAAAGAGUUUCCUGGCAUCUCCCAGAACAAGUGGAAUGAACUUUUACUCAUCGCAGACCACAUUCUGAAUAAGGAUGUUUUGGAACUUCAGGAUUCUUCUAUUGAGGGAACAGCCACGGACUCCAUUGGUCCUGUCCAGGCCUUGGCUAAAAUCUGAAACUUCUGUUGGGUUGUAGUAUGCUGCAGAGCUUUACAAGGCUCGCAUCUCUUAUCAGUAAGAGGGUGUGAUGAAGUUCUUUCUCUCGCAACCCCCUUUGCCUUUAGUAUUCUGCAAAUGAUUGCCCAAAAGAGAGAAAGCAGCAUUGCAAAAAUACUAAAGAGGAGGGGUGUUUUUAAAUGUACACUUGAAGGCCAACUAAUAAUUAUACAGUAUCUAUAAGACAGAUGAUUUUCACAGUACAUUCUAGCAACAGCUUUUCUCAAUUAAGGCUAAGGCAGAAAUGGAUGAAAACUACAAGAAGUCAUGAUUAGAAAUGCCUUAACAUUUGUCUUAUUUAAAUCCUGGUUUAGUAACAUGAAUGUCUUAACUGAAAGGGCACUUGUGCAUGUAGUAUUGCUCAUUGUUUCAAGUCUGAAUUAGAAUUCUUUUAGCCAUUUUGGACUCUAUAGCCCAAAAUGAGCCAGCUGUUUGAAUGAGGAGUUCCACUAAAGACCCUAAUUUUACUGCUGGUAAGAACUUGCAUGCAGGGAUAACUAAGCACCACACUGAGUUUUCAAGGGCAGAGUCAAAUUCCUGAAAGAAAAGUGAGAUGGGGGCUGCAGUGCUCCUUCAGAAUUGCACAGUGUGGGGUGGGGGGGCUUGUCAGCCUAAGAUAAGUUGAGCCUGCACCCUUGUUGGAGGUUGAGGUCGAUGGGCUGGGAAGGGAAUUUGCACAAGCACAGUAUUAAUGUCUCGGAAUACUUAGUAAGAAUUAGAAAAGAUGGGCUGGCAUGCCUGGAAUUGAUAAAUGUUUGUGUAUUUUAUAUAAAGUAUCUCAUAAUACUUGUCGGAAGAAUAAGGUGUUGGAGAUGGUCCGGCUAGGAAGUCAUGCAGGUAAGUCCACAAGUGCAUGUGUGCUAUCAUUUGUAUACUUUACAAGUUGACUUAUUUUUGCUUAACCCCACCAGACGAUUCAGACACUUGGUAUGUCCUUGUCUAGGCUCAAGAAUUUGGAGGAAAAGCCACACGACUGCAGGGCAGAGGACAAAUGACACGUCCGUUCUUGAAACCUAGAAAUGUACAGCCCGUUAGGGGGUUUCAGUGAGCAGCGAAGUCUUUGUGUUUCAGGUGAUGUUACCUGUCCCUACUUUGUGCGUUUUGUCUUCAGAGUUCAACAAUGCAUUCUGUGGAAAGCAAUAUGACACAAGCAAAAAAAAUUGAGUGUACCAUAUUCUGACACUUAAGGAGACUAGGAAAGUUCAGACUGCCUUAAAAAAAUCAUGUGUGUGCUGCUGGUCCAUUUUUGUAUGUAAUUUACAUUUUAUUUCUCGUGUAUCCUUGGUUUUAGCCCUUUAAAAGGUUUUGUCUGAAAGAUCGGUUUGCAGAAACACAACCAGCAAACCACACAGCUGAUGCAGACAACUUAACAUUUAUGUGUUACUUUAGUUAUGUGGAUGAGACACUGAGACUGCUAGCUUAAAAAAUAAAAACCAAGCUCGAUAGACUGAUCUCCACUUGGCCGUCUAAUUUCUUAUGUUCUCGACUACAGUGCAGUGGUGUGACACUUGCCACUGCUGCCUCUCCACUCACAGGUUGAUUUAUGGCCUUCCUAGUGCUUGCAUAUUUUCCUGAUGUCCGUGUAGGUUUUCUCCAAGUACUCCAUAACAGAAAGAUGCGGUAGUUUGACAGGGGACCGGUAUUUUGCCUGGUGCGAGUGAGGGUACCCAGUGCCCAUACCACCUUAUGCUAUACUUACCUUUGUUGUAGGAAGAGUGGAUGAAGAUAAUGCGAUUCAUCCUGUGCUACAGUCCCUCAUCUUAAAUUAACAGUAACUUCAAACUUGGGACAGGUUUGUUGAACGUUUUGCUCGUGGUUUCAGGUACAAGUCCAUGAUACUCUCAAGGAAAUUGAGGUGCGAUUUGUCAGAGCAUUAAUGUGACCGCUGUUUGCAAACUUCAGUUAAGUAUAGAGCUGGUCACAAGUUUAGGAUGUCUAAACACACUUUUAACUUGUGGAAUGAUGGGAACUGUUGGUAGUUGUAACUUGGUACUUGUGACUUUCAACUGCAUUUAUUCUCAUGUUCAGCUCCUCUUGUUCAUUUUACUGCUCCAGCACUGUGCUGGAAGGACAAGACUGGAGGUCAUAAUACAGAGGGGCAGCCAGAACUUGUUAAAAUGUUCAGAUUAUUUACAUUGGAGGGAAUUCUAGACUUAACAGGGAAUUGGGGAUGUUAAACCCAUCGCCACAGUAAGCUGCUGCAAAAUGUGAGCCUGCUGUUGUCAAUCUGUACAUCAGCUGGAGGACAUAUUGGAGUUUGUCAUACAGUUGGCUGGCUGUACCUGUGCAGGUCAGUGCCCGCCGAGACCACUAUAACACCAUGGAGGUUCGAUUUAUGGGUUUGAAGCCACUGGGUGGGGCCAAAUCAAGAAAGGGAAAAUUUAAUACUGGACCAAACCUGCAAAAGUCCAACUAGUUUUGAUACAUUUUCAUCAAGUAUAUGUCAUAGCUAUAAUUUUUUAUUUGGCUUCCUGAAAUUAAGGAAUGUUCUUACUGUGUUGAAUAUUGUCUUCUCUUAAGGUAAGUAAUAUUAUUGCACAUUUACAGUAUAAUAAAUUAUAUUACUGUUAAUAAAAGUGUUGAUAAUAUUUGCACCAACAGAACAUGUUACAAUUGAAUUGUGCUAUGACUGUGUGAUGGCUGCCUAAUGAUGACAUCUUUGGCUGUGGCCUUGAUUGGUGGACAUGUGAGGGAAAAUCAGGUCACAUUUUGUUUGCUGCCCAAUUAUCGCCACUGCGGUCAUCACUCACAGUUGUCACAUUGCAGUUUCACAAACAUCAUCAUGUGUGCACACAAUAACUUUCAGACAGUAAAGAUGAUGACUUUCUUGUCCUCAGGUGUUGUUGGAGAUGCUGGAAAAGUAUCAAGGACAGAAUGAUAAUUAGCCCGGACCCUCUCAUAUUUUAGCCUUGGUCUGUCUUUAUCCUUCUAUGCUUUGAGCAGAGAACCUAUUGACAUGGAGAGCUUACACCUCUUGCUUAGUAUUUUUUGCAGUAAUCAAAAGAUUUUCGGUUUAAUUAGCUUUAUUAUAUGCAGUGAUGUUUUAGCUCGUACACCCAACAUGGAGUUUGGCCAUCUGUCAAUGAAACCUCCUUGAAUAACAAAAUGUUGUGCUGUAUGUAAAUAAGAAAAAAAGCAGCCAGUGUAAGUCUCAAAGUUCUAAUAAAAUGAAUAAAAUAUGGAUGGGGACUCCACCCACCAUCUCCGCUAAUUGUUGGCGGGCACUACUCUAUGCAUCCUGACUUCCCAUAGACAUAAUUGGGCAGUUUACUCAACUUUCAGAAGUUAAAUGUUAAUUCGGAAACUGUUCUAUAAAUUGUAUCAGUUAAUCUUUCUGCAAACAUAAUACAACUAAAUUUGAACACAUUAUUAAAAACAUGGCUUCCUUAGAGGACUGCCAGCAUGGAAUAAAGUAAACCACAUCCUCCUCACAUGCGAGCCGUUGGUCCAAAGUGUGCAGUGAGCAGCCACAUCUGAACUCUUGUGUUCUCAACACCACACUACAGCAGGCUUGAUGGGGAAACAGCACAGGCCAGAGUAAAGAAUGGCAAAGUCCAGAUUUUUACCUAAACUUUAUUUAUUUUUUUUUAAUUAAAGACACAUUAAAGGGUUGAUCAAGUGGGAAAAAACGCAGAAGUGUCAAAUAAAACCCACUUGGUUUCAGCACAUUGGAUUAGUUUGCUUUCUACUUUCUAAUAAGUCACAAAUACUCUCCUGCCCACCCCUCUAACUCUUCUCUCCUCACAUCUGCUCCAGUACCUUCCUACCUUUUGCUCCCAUUCACCUCCCAAGUAGCCUCCAUUUGGGCUGUAAACUCCAUUUUGAGGUUGUUUCCAUGACAGCCAGAAACACAUCUGGACCAAUAAAUGUUCUCUAAAGGCCCAGGGUCCAUCUCGUCUGGGAGCGCCAAGUGUCCAUGCUCUCCCAGUUUACAAUUGAAGGGUCAGACUGCCAUGGUGGCUGCCAGUCCUUUAAGGUACCCCGUGGCAGCCCUCGGCCACCUGACACUUUCAGGGAGAUCUCCACUGCCUACCAUGACAUUAGUGCCCUGGGAGACCACAGCUAACAUGGACACAAAUGUUCAUCAUAUGAUAUUAACUUCAAAAGGAAACUGAUCUGCUUGGCUACACAAAACAUUUAUGGCACACACACACACAGAAAAAGGAAUUCAGAAAUCCCAGAAGGAGUUUCUAAUCACGCUUAGAUUUUAAUCCUGUGUUUACUUUGUAGCCAAAUAAAUAAUUGGGGGGGGGGACUUUAGUUUUGCAGGUUAGCAAGUUGGAGACUGCUGAUGCAUAUCGCCUGGUGGCCAUCUCCCCAUACUGGAAACUGAGCAACACCUCAGUUAGAAGUGUGUCUUAUCCUUUUUGAAUCCACUCCAGCCAUUUCUGCUCUUGGCAGCCCCUCUCAUGACAUCUGAGGUACCCACAAAUAUUCUUCAUCUGUGUUACAUGCAUUACAUUGGCAGACUAUGGAAACAAAAGUUUGAAAUCUAUUAUCAUAAAUCACAGAAGAACUGAUAAAAUAAAUGUCGGAGCCCUUGUUCAGGUCAUUAAUGAUACGUGUAAUUAAACACCGUGGAGAUUUGGAUAUGUGUAUUCAGAAUGGAAACAUUUCAUUAUGCAUUGGCAAUCUGUAAUGAACUGGCAUCAGUGGAGCUGAAAUAAAGGAUAGGCAAUAGGAGGAGUUGGUUCUUGGCAAGCCUAGUGAUUCCCUGAAAGGUCACAUCUUAUUUUUUUUUGUUUUGUAAGUUGGUUUUUGUGGUGGUAUUUUAAGACACGCUGGUAGUUUUUAGCACAUGAAAUUUUCCUCAGGUCAAAGAUCGUUACUGUGGUAUUCUGGAGUUCAGCCUUUUCUAUUUUGCUUCAGAUUACUAUUUCUAUUAUCAUCUGUAUCCAAGUUGACUUGCAACAUUUCAAAAAUACAAUUUGUUAUAUUUCUA
This is a long non-coding RNA of Polypterus senegalus (gray bichir), 5651 nucleotides long. RefSeq lists it as uncharacterized. NCBI's taxonomy places the organism in Eukaryota, Metazoa, Chordata, Cladistia, Polypteriformes, Polypteridae. The record is from RefSeq and is a predicted model, not a curated record. The transcript is spliced from 3 exons.